RNAcentral lists this long non-coding RNA (236 nucleotides) under Pelobates cultripes (western spadefoot toad). Lineage: Eukaryota; Metazoa; Chordata; Amphibia; Anura; Pelobatidae. The record is from RNAcentral.
UCCAUUCUCGGCACCCUACUGUUUACAUUAUUUAUAAAUGAUCUGCCUAAUGUCUGCAAAUCCUCAAAUGUACACAUGUACGCAGACGACACAGUAAUCUAUGCGAGCAAAUCCGAUCUACCGCAGCUUGAGGCUGUGCUCCAAGACCAGUUUACAGAGGUAGAAAAGUGGAUCGCAAAAAAACAAACUCUUCCUAAACACUGACAAAACUGUCACAAUGAUCUUUGGAACAGUAC